UCUUUUCUAUAAAUAUACACACUUACGUCUUCCUGGAUCCUGUCCUAACACACACUUAACCCUCUCCUUCUCUUCGAUCCUAUCUUCACAUAAUGGGAAACUACGCUUCUUGCGCUCUAGGCAACACAACCUCUUCUUUUUCUUCUUCUUCCUCUUCAAAAGUGAUUCUCCCAGACGGUGAAGUGCGUCACAUUCACGCGCCGACUAAAGCGGCUGAGCUUAUGAUGGAGAUUCCGAGCUUUUUUCUCGUCGACGCCGAAACAUUAAAGAUCGGUCGGAAACUUAACCCGUUAGCCGCCGACGACGAUCUCGAAACUAGAGGCUGUCACGUGUACGUCGCUUUUCCUAUGACGCGUGCCACGUCAGCAGCAAACGCUUCGGACAUGGCUCGGUUGUUUUUAGCCGCCAAGAAACAACAGCGCCGACGAGUCAGAACAGCCGUGAAACACUGUCACAACGGAAGGAUUUCGCCGGAGGGAGAGGAGGAUGUCAAGAUGGUAUCGGCGGGAUCUAAGCUGAUGAGUUUAGUAGACAUUGAUGAGUUUUCUGCGGCGGAGUUUAUGCAUAGAAUCUCGAUUUCGAAGUCUAAGAAACCGAAGCUGGAAACCAUAGCUGAAGAAGAAUCUCUCUUAAGCGGACUUGAAAUCAAACAAUUAUUGGAACUUGAUUUUUUCAACGCUUUUUUUAAUUUUAGUUAUUGUUCUUGUUUGUAGUGUUAUUGAGAAUGAGCAUGUAAUGAUAAAGUUCUUUAAUUUUAUGUAAAUGUAAAUUAGUAAUCUUAAGCUCUUAACCAUUAUUUUUAUAGUAUUUGUUUUUCAUCAGUAUUUAAUUAAUAAUUUAAUGAAUGCUAAAAUCAAAAUUACACCAUCUUUUAUUUUUUUUCUUAAAACAACUAUUAAAAUGAUUUAAAAGUUGUAGUAUAUAGGUAUUUAUACAGAAAAAAACAUACAGUUACAAUAAUAAAAUCUACAGACUAAAUGAAUCCUACAACAAAAUUCUAUGUAAGUUACAUCAUGUGAAGGUAAUGAUCUGGUGAUGAGAAUUUUGCUGACAAGUCUGUGGAAGAGAAGGCUUCACUAAAUCUGACUUGUAGUAAGGAGACUCUGGAAGAGCUUAGGAUUCGUUUGCACAAAUGGGUCACACAAGAAACAAACAGAUAUGAGUAAAUGGACAUGGAGAAACGUAGUCAAAAUAGUUGAUAAUUUCCAUGAACACGAGACUGUAACUCUACGAGCAAGUCUCUUCGAAACUGGAGUUUUCUACACUGCUAAGCUACUUUCUACAAUUUCAAAAGCAACUGAUUCUACUACUACUGUAAAUACUAUAUAUCGUGGUGCUAAUGCUAUAAGUAAUUAGACAUUCCUUAGUAAAAUAAAAUUUAUCAAACAAGGUUAUAGAAACGUGACGGAGAAUUGUAGAGAGAAUAUGAUCAUGCUAAGGAAUGGACUUGAGAAGACAGAAACGUUCAACAUCGUAUCAAAGAACGAGGGAGUGCCGCUUGUCGCUUUCUCCUUGAAAGAUAGCAGCUCUCACACUGAGUUCGAAAUCUCCGACAUGUUCGCAGGUUAGUUUUUAUUUGAGACAGAAACUCUAUGAAAUAUUCUAAAGACAGGUGUCAUUUGAUAAACAAUAAUUCCUUAAAAUAAUUAUAUAAGUGAAUGAAAAUAUAUAAAAAAAUUUGUAAUUAUUUUUUGAAAAGUUUAGCAAUGGAGAUGCUCUAAUAUCUCAAAUACUCUUUCACAUUUCGAAAGGUUUCACUUUGAUAUGAUUCAUGCACUUGAGAGUAAAUACAUAAGUUAGACGUUAAUUGAUACUUCAAAGAUUCAUAAAAAUAAGUAACUAGAUUUGUGUUUGAAUAUGAUGUAUCGAAAACUUGUCUGUUUAUAUAUUGAAAUGUAGGUACGGAUGGAUAGUACCGGCGUAUACAAUGCCUCCUAACGCACAACACAUAACAGUUCUUCUAGUGGUCAUCAGAGAAGAUUUUUCAAGAACACUCGCUGAGAGAUUUGUAAUCGAUAUUGAGAAAGUGAUGCGUGAGCUCGAUGAGCUUCCUUCACGAGUAAUCCAUAAAAUUUCGCUAGGCACUACAAGAAAACAUCGGUAUUCUGACGGACAUUCCGAUGGAAAAUGAAAUCCUCAGAAUUUCCUGAGGAAUUUCCGAGGAAAUUCCGAGGAAGCCCAAAUUUUGGGUUUCCUCGGAAUUUCCUCGGAAUAUACCGACGGAAUUCCGAGGAAACAUUAAUCCGUCGGUAUAUUCCGAGGAAAUUCCGAGGAGAAAUGUGUUCCUCACAAAAUUCCGAGGAAAUUUCGACGAACAAGUGACCGAUCGAUGCGUUUUUGGACAUAUACCCAUCGAUCGAUCACAUUGUUACGCUUUGGUCCAUCUUAGUGAUCGAUCGAUGCGUUUUUGGACAUAAAUCCAUCGAUCGAUGCGUUUAUAAAAAAACAUUUGAGAUUUUGAAACCCCAAACACUAGUUCCUCGGAAUUUCCUCGGAAUAUUCCGAGGAAAUUCCGAGGAACACUUGAUAUUCUAGAUCUAUCGAUGGGAUAAUCUCAUCGAUCGAUCACAUUCUUACGGUCCGGUCUAUCUUAGUGAUCGAUCGAUGCGUUUUUGGACAUAUAUCCAUCGAUCGAUCCGUUUAUAAAAAAACUUACAAGAUUUUCCGAGGACAUUCCGAGGAACAACUAAUACUAUACGUUAUAAUGACCUGUAUAGGCCAUUUACUCAUUUUGUGUUAAAAAAAAAAGACCAGACAAUACUAUUCAAGAAAAUACUCCACAAGAUUUGUAACUAAUUCAUUGUAAAUUUGAACAAAGAUUUAAAAAAAAAAAAAAAAAUUGUAACAAAGAAUGUGUGGAGAAGAGUAAUCAGUGUUGUAGAGGAUGGAUUCGACCAUCCCACAGGGCCCGAGGAAUAGGAAGGCCUGGCCCGAGUUAGGAAGAGCGACGGCUCGAUCUGUCGGCUCGAGAGUCAGGUCUCUCGGCUUGACUCUUGAGUACUUCUAGCUGACCAUCGUCGACUGAAGAGCGUUCGGCUCAGCGGUUGCUCGAACACCUACGGGCCUCUCGGCCCAGCAAAGGAGGCCCACCAAGAUGGCGUAAAAUUAGGUCAAGAGCGAAGCAUCGGGACGUCUAUAUAAGGGAAAGAAGAGGCAACGAGAAGGGGAUCCAAAAAUACUGACCAAGACUUGACGGCUAGAUUAGGGUUUUUCACCUUUACUUCGUCUCGCCGUUAAUUAUACUUCUCCGGUAGCUUGUCGAGCCACCGGUUUCCUUUCUGUCGCACUCUCCUCUUAUUUCCUUGUAACCGAUCGAACGUUUUCUCUCCGACCAUCAAUAAGACGUCUUUGUUUAAGCCCACAUCUUAUUUAUUACCGUUUCACGAUCAAACAUUUAUAAAACAUUUUUUUAUUUAUAAACACUAUUUUAUUAUUUUUUGUAUUUAUAAAAACUAUUUUGUAUUUAUAAAAAGAUGAUUUCAUAUUUAUAAAAAUAUUUAUAUUUAUUAAAACUAAUUUUGUAUUUAUAAAACAUUUUUUUAUUUAUAAAAACUAUUUUAUUAUUUUUUGUAUUUUAAAUAUGUUUUCUAUUUCAAUUUUAAUUUUAUAUUUUUGAAUUUCAAUUUAAAAAAAUAAAUUUAUAAUUUUUUUUUUUAUUUUGGAAAUAUUCCGAGGAAGUGUAUCCCUCGGAAUAUUCCGACGACAUCUUCCUCGGAAUAUUCCGAGGAAUUUCCGACGAAAAAAGUCCUCAGAAUAUUCCGAGGAAAUUCAUUUCCUCGGAAUUCCGUCGGAAAUUUCCGAGGAAUUUCCGAGGAAAGAUGAAUUUCCGAGGAGUUAUUUCCGAUGACUUUUUUCGUCGGUAUGUCGUUGGAAUAGCGUUAUUCCGACGACAUACCGACGAUUUUUUUCCUCAGUAUGCCGCUGUUUUCUUGUAGUGAGGAGAGGAGAAGAGUGAAGCUGACGGCGAUAACUUGAUGGUGACGGUGAAGAAAAGCGAUAUGGAGAAGCAGAGAAAGAUCAUCAAUGGCUGGAAGAAGUUUGUUUCCGACAGGAAGACGACAAAUGGUAUCUGUUAACUAAGUAAUAUAUGAUGAAAAUGUUUGGACUGCUUUAUCAAUAAUGCAUUUGCAUUAAUUCGGAAAUUGAAGGUUUUUUACUUUGUUGUUGUUGAACAAUUAAAGUUUCGUUUGAUUAAUACUUGAAUAUAUUUUGAUAUUAUUGCGACAUUUUGAAUAAAGUUUCUGUGUUUUUGUUAUUAGUUUGUCAUCCAUUACAAAUAGGAUUGGUGAGUCUAGUAAAUGCAUAAUAUUUGGCUUAUAAUAGACUUGCUAAUUAUCUUCAAAUAAAAACAGUCUUAUUAUAAUUGAACUUUUAUAAUGUGCAACAAUAAUCAAACGAAAAGUUACACAAUGAAGUAGUAAACUUUUUUGAUCGAGAAAUGAGAUUUAUUUAUGAUAUUUUUCAAAUAAACUCUAAGCCGGAGAAGGAGCAGUAGCAUCGUGGCUAGAGCAAUGUUUCUUAACAUAGUUGUUAACGAAAGGGUUACGGAACGAUCUGAAAACCGUAUGUUUACAAUUUUCAUUCAAUGUUUUGAUCAUGGCGCAACAUUCAGAAUCAACGGUUGGUUUUCCGGUUAACGUCUUCAUCAAACAUUUUGUUACCAUCUUGUAACUGGAAAAGCACUCCUUUAAUUCCUGAUUUGGGCUGUGUUUGUUAAUAGCCGAGGGCGCGUGAGCGUAACCCGACCAUUGGAGCUCUUCGCCAUCUGUUAGGUCAAGAAAUUGAGAUGUGACACAGCUUGAAAAAAGAACCAUAGCAACAAAAAUUGUGAGAUUCUUCAUUUUCUUUUGAUUACUUGUCGGUGUGAAAUUGAGAAAAAGUGAAUAUGCUUUUAGUUUUGGAUGACUUUAAAAUGAAACUACGUCAGUGUUUAUAUAGAAGUUUACAAUGAAUACUUUUAUAGCACAUACAAACAAAACAUAGAAAAGAAUCAUGACCAGUUAUGUAAGAAAUUGUUAUUAUUCAAUUAAGGACAUAAAUCUAUAAAAUUUGCAUGUUGUUAACCCAAAAAAUUGUAUAAUAUCUUAAUGACCAAAAAUAUGGUAUAAAAUAUUUAUCUAUUAAUAUUAUUAUUUGAUAAGUGAAUUUGUUUACUUGUCAUCUUCUCCAUGAUUUUAGGUUAAAUCAAUAGUUUUAAUAAACAAUUUUAAUUAGACUAAUUAAAUAUCUUUAAUUUCAUUUAUAUUUGUAUGUUAAUAUGAUUUUUUCGUGGUAUUUUCAUUUCAUUUUUAUUUUUCUUUGUACUUUCAUUUUUAUUUGUAUUAUUGUUCUUAUGGUUUUCGUGGUAUUUUAAUUUUUUUUCUUAAUAUUCAGUUAAUAGAAUAAAAUUUAUUUGUUAUUUAAUUUAAAAUUUUUUAUAUUAUUUUAUAUUGGGAAUUAAAUUAUAUUUUUUAAAUAUUUUCAAAAUACCAGUAUCCAAAAGAGAAUAUUUUCAAAAAAAAAAAUUUGAUUUACAACAAGUACCUUAUACAGUAUUUAUAAACAUUAAAAUUAACUUUAUUUAAUUUUAAUGUUUUCAAGAGUUUCACAGAAUUAUAACGUUGUUUAAUUUAAAAUGUAAAGAAAAAUGUGAUUCUCUUUUUUUAUAAACUGCAUUUUCUAAAAUGAUUUUUAUUAGUUAUAAUAUUAAAGUUUGAAAGUUAAAAGAUUAUUUAAUAAUAACAAAUUAUGAUUUUGUAAUAAAGAAAUACUAUUUUAUAGGAAAAUAUCAAUCUCUAUUUUAAAGUAAAAAUAUAGAUUUACUAUAGCUUAUUUUCUCAAUUAUAACAUUUAGAAAUGAAAAUAACAAUAAAUAUAAAAUGUUCUUAUCUUAUGCAUUAUAUAUUAAUGUUUUGUUUGUCAAUAUGAUUGGUCUGUUUGAGUGUUUAUACAAUUAUUAUGGAGGUAUGUUACAGUAUAAUUAUAUAUAUAUAUACCAAUAAUUUUAUUUACUCUGAUUAAUAUAUAUAAUAUAUAAAAUUGGGUUUGGUUUAACAUUCUUAUGCUUUUGAUUUAUUUGAAAUUUUUUGGUUUUGAUAAUUCCAAAAAUUUGGUUUAAUAACAUCACUUAAUAUUAAAAGUUGUAUUUUUUUUAUUUAAUUAAGAAAAAAAUUGAGAAUGACGCUUGGAAGAUGCACAAAGUUUUAUAAAUUAAUAUAAUAAAAACUGGUUAAAGAUAACAACAUAUUUUAAAAUAAAAAAUAUUAAUGUUGUCAUCCAAAAUAAUGUCUUUAAAUCAAUAAACGGUAAAAAUUAAGAAAUUGAAAGAUUCAUAAAAUAGUAUAAAUUUAAUAUUUUAUUUAAGUUUUUUGAUCUUUAAACUAAUAGUACACGGUGGCUGACCUAGCAUCAUAUGUAGUUGGAAGCACAAUACUAAAAAAAAAAACAAAAACAAAAAUAUUACGGACUGGGGGAACUUUUUUUUGUUUAUUCAGUAAACUAAAAACAAUAUAAUCAAAUUAGAACUUAUAUUUGGACUGCUAUCAAUAAUGCAUCUGCACUAAUUCGGAGAUUUGAAGGUUUUCACUUUAUUGUUGUUGAACAAUUUGAUUAGUACUUGUAAUAUUUUUUGAUAUUAUUGCGACAUUUUGAAUAAAGUUUCUGUGUUUUUGUUAUUAGUUUUUCAUCCAUUACAAAUAUGAUUAAUGAGUCUAGUAAAUGCAUAAUAUUUGGCUUAUAAUAGUGUUGCUAAUUAUCUUCAAAUAAAAAAACUAAUUAUAAUUGAACUUGUAUCAUCAUUUAUAAUGUGCAAUAAUAAGCCAAAAAAAAAAUGUUACACAAUCUAGUAGUAAUUAACUCUUGAUCGAUACAUAGAUUUAUUUAUUAUAAUAAUUUUGUAAUUAAACUUUGUAUCAUCGCUUUAUAAUGUGCAAAAAUAAGCAAAAAAAAGUUACACAAUACAAGAGAUUUAUUUAUAAUAUAUUUUUUAGAUGAACUCUAAGCCGGAGCAGGAGCACUGUAGCUAGAGCAAUGUUUCUCGACAUAGUUGUUAACAAAAGGGUUACGGAAGGUUUUGAAAACCGUAUGCUUACAAUUUUCAUUCAACGUCUUGAUUGUGGCGCAACAUUCAGAACCAACUGUUGGGUUUUUGGAUAACGUCUUCAUCAAACAUUUUGUUACCAUCUUGUAACUGGAAAAACACUCUUUUAAUUCCCGAUGUGGGCUGUGUUUGUGGGUAGCCGAGGGCGCCUGAGAGUAACCCGACCAUUGGAGCUCUUCGUCAUCUGUUGGGUCGCGGAAUUGAGAUGUGACACAGCUUGAAAAAAGAAUUAUAGCAACAAAAAGUGUGAGAUUCUUCAUUUUCUUUGGAUUCUUUGUCGAUGUGAAAUUGAGAAAAAAUGAAUAUGCUUUUAGUUUUGGAUGGCUUUAAGAUGAAACUAUGUCAGGGAUUAUAUAGAUGUUUACAGUGAAUACUUUAUAGCAUAUUCAAACAAAACAUAGAAAGAAUCAUGACUAGUUAUGUAAGAUAUUGUUUAUAUUCGUUUAAGGACAUAAAUCUAAAAUAUCUGACUAGUCAUGUUGUUAACCCAAAAAGAUUGUAUAAUAUCUUAAUGUUGACCAAAAACAUGGUAUGAUAUCAUAAUAAUAUUCUAUGGUCACCUUAUAAAGUGGAAAAACAUCAAAUUAACAUUGCCUAUUAGAAUAUUCUCAUUUACACAACGUUAUCCCAAAAAUAAUAAUAAUAAAUUAGGAUAAGGUUCACAAAUUAAAUCUAAAAAGAUAACUACAAACACAUGACAUAAACCCCUUACUAGAUUUUAAUCCGCACACCCGUGCGGGUAACAUUUCAUUUAUAAAUAUAAAUUUGUAUAUUAUUUUGUAUAUAAUAAUUUAUGAUAAUAUAUUGUUGUCAUUUUAAAAAUAACUAAAUAGAUGAUAUAUACUUCUAAAUAUUAAAAUUUAACAUAUGUUGACAAUUUUAUUUUUUGUGAAAAUUAUUACAUAAUUUAUGAAUAUUAAUCAUUUUAAAAGUUGAAUGAUAUUUUAGUCACUUUAAACGGUGAAUGAUAUUUUAUUUAUUUAUAUUAAUGAAAGUAUUUUUUCAAAAUAUAAUGGUUUACCAAUUCAACAUAAUUUUAAUAUGUUUGCAAAAAAACAUAAUUUUAAUAUGUAAUUCAUUAAUUACUUCUAUUUUAAUAUAAUGUAGGGUAUCAGAGCCUACUUGCGUAAUACUGAAAUCAAAUCUUAUUUAGUCUAUAAUUUGGUAUAGAUAAAUAAUCUUAUAGUUUCAACGAGAAUUAAAUUGGCGUAGUUAUCAAUUUCGCAGAAGCGUAAUCUGAUUCGUGCGUAAGAACAAUAUGUUGUUAAAAUAACCAUUAAGCGUUAGUGCUUCUCUUUAUUGAAAAAUGCAUGGUUAUUUGUUAAUUGAUAAUAGUUUUGUUUGAUGCGAUCAAUCCAACUAUUAUAAUUAACCGAUUAAGAAUAUCUAGAUAUACGCGUUGUCAUGUGAUGAUCUUGUUCAUGUUGCAUACAUAUAAUUUCAAGAGGCAAUCGUAUUACUGUAAUACUUGAAUGCGUGUUUCUAAAUUAACCUAAAACACAUAUGAGAUGUGUAUAUACCAAUUGAACCAAUGAUUGGUUUAGGUUGUUUAAUACAAUUGGUUUGGUCCAAUUGGGUUGGUCGUUUGAUCAGAUUUUAAUUAGAUUAAAUUCUAAAAUCAAAUAUAUAAAUAAUUAAUUAUUUUAAUUAGAUUAAAUUAAUUUAAUUAUUUAUAAUUCAAUUAAAAUACAUAUAAGAUAUGUAUUAGUUAUAUUUAUAUUUAUAUUAGAUAUAAAUUUUAAAUAUAAGUUCAAAUUGAAUUAAAAUUUGUUCCUCAAUUAAUUUCAAGUACUUUUGAUGUCUACCCAAACUUAUCAACUAUCAUGGCUUGUUUCGUUGUAAGAUGGGUUUGACAAAGCAAUGUGUCUGCAAUUACAUAAGUGACGUAGAUGGUAACGGUUACCAUAUGAAUAUAAGACUGGUUUACUUGACUAGGCUAUCAAAACGGUUUUGGGUGGAAUAUAGGUGGAAUCCUCAAGCCAUUUCCACAUGUUGGUUGUGUAAAACGGAAGCUGAGACUCGUGACCAUUUAUUUUUUGAGUGUUCUUACUCUAAGGAAGUCUGGAUUGGAACCAUUAAACAUUUGGCAGGGCAUGGAGAAGUGUAUAAAUGGGAUCGAGUGCUUCGGAUUGUUGAGAAGGGAUUACACAAGCGGAGUUCGACUGUGCUACUGCGUUAUUGCUUUCAGGCCGUGGAUUAUGCGAUAUGGCAUGAGAGGAAUGUGAGAAGAGUUGGUGAGGCAUCGCAGCCAGCUACUUGUCUGAUCGCAAAGCUUGAUAAGCUUAUUAGAAACAGAAUAUCUUCAUUGAGAAGGAGGGAAGGAGGAAAAUAUGAGAAAAUGAUGGAGGAUUGGGUUGACAGAGACUAGUGGAGCUUGGGAGUUAUAGAAAGCAUAAUUCUUUCGGUUUUCAUUUAUGUCCUUGAAUAUAGCAGCAGAUGAAACUCGGUACAAAGGUUUUUUUUUAUUUGAAUAAAUUUAAAAUUCUUUCACAAAAAUGCAUAAUAUUUGGCUUAUAAUAGUGUUGAUAAUUAUCUUCAAAUAAAAAACUUAUUAUAAUUGAACUUGUAUCAUUAUUUUAUAAUGUGCAACAGUAAGCAAAAAAAAAGUUACACAAUCUAGUAGCAAUUAGCUCUUUUGAUCGAUGCAAGAGAUUUAUUUAUUAUAUUAUUUUAUAAAUGAACUUGUAUCAUCAUUUUAUAAUGUGCAACAAUAAGCAAAAAAAAAAAAGGUUAGGCAAUGUAGUAGUAAACUAUUUUUGAUCGAUACAAGAGAUUUAUUUAUGAUAUUUUUCAAAUGAACUCUAAGCCGGAGUAGGAGCAUCAUAGUUAGAGCAAUGGUUCUCGACAUAGUUGUCAACAAAAGGGUUCUGGAACGAUCUGAAAACCGUAUGCUUACAACUUUCAUCCAACGUUUUGAUCGUGGCGCAACAUUCAGAACCAACGGUUGUUUUUUUGGUUAACGUCUUCAUCAAACAUUUUGUUACCAUCUUGUAACUGGAAAAGCACUCCUUUAAUUGCUGAUUUGGGCUGUGUUUGUGGGUAGCCGAGGGCGCCUGAGCGUAACCCGACCAUUGGAGCUCUUCGUCAUCUGUUGGGUCAAUGAAUUGAGAUGUGACACAGCUUGAAAAGAGAAUUAUAGCAACAACAAUUGUGAGAUUCUUCAUUUUCUUUGGAUUCUUUGUCUAUGUGAAAUUGUGAAAAAUGAGUAUGUUUUUAGUUUUGAAUGGCUUUAAGAUGAAGCUAUGUCAGGGAUUAUAUAGAAGUUUACAAUGAAUACUUUCAUAGCAUAUACAAACAAAACAUAGAAAGAAUCAUGACAAGUAAUGUAAGAUAUUGUCUAUAUUCGUUUAAGGACAUAAAUCUAAAAUUUUCAUGUUGUUAACCCAAGAAGAUCGUAUAAUAUCUUAAUGUUGACCAAAAAUAUGGUAUAGUAUCAUAAUAAUAUUAUAUGGUCAUCUAAUAUUAAGGAAAAACAGCAUAUUAACAUCGCCUAUCAGAAUAUUCUCAUUUGCUCAGCAUUAUCCCCCCAAAAAUCAAAAAUUAGGAUAAGGUUCACAAAUUAAAUCUAAAAAGAUAACUACAAACACAAACACAUGACAUAAACCCCUAAUACUCGUGUUGACUCAGAAUAUCGAGGCAUAUAAUCUUGCACAUGGUACUCGGAGUCAACAUUCGUACUUUGUCCACAUGGACACAUAAUCUCCGGUUUGAUUAGUAAAGUCUCAUGUUUAUAUUGAUAACAAAAAAAUAGAGUCGUCAUUAAUUUAAAAUAAUCUUCAGUUCAAUUUAACGAUAUGAUUCAGACUAUAUUUGUUUUGUAUAGAAGAAAAACUGAAUUCUGCCAAAAAUAAUAAGCUAGUAUGUAUUGAAAUAUAGCCGACAACCAAAAAUAUUAUAGCGACAACAAAACUCAACCUAAAAUCAUUCUUUUUUGAAGCUUUAAGACUAUUAUUUUGCAACUUGCAAGUUCAACAAAUAAGCUUGUAAUCACUGUUCUCUACUUUCUGUUUAAGCUUCAGCAGAAAACAAACCAUCAUAGUCUAUUGGAAAAAAGCCAAAAAGCCAAACUUUCAAAUUAGCUUUUAAAUUUAUGUAGCUUAUUAUUCUUCUCUUAUCUGUUAAAGUUAAACAUAUUAAAAAAACUUACCAAAGUUGCCUAACUUCUAACUUCUCUUGACAAAAUUAAAAAUAACAUUGUCCGGAAAAUAUUAUAAAUUAAAAAACGUGUUCGGCCAUUUACAACUUGUAACUUUCAUGUAGAGUAAAGUAACAAGAAAAAUUAAAAAAGAGUUGUUGGCCAGAGACUAGUGAAAACACGGCAAUACAUUUGAAUUAUAACAAAAUUGAAAUAUAUACGCGCAUUCAACCAUAUCAUGUCAACGUGUAUAUGCACAAUUGUCUAUCUCCACCUUGCAGAUAACAUUAUUAUAAUAUAAUAUUUCUAUAACAGACUGUAAACUAUAUCUUCCUCGAACAUUCUUUUCUAUAUAUAUACACACUUAUAUCUUCCUGGAUCCUGUCCUAACACACACUUACCCCUUUCCUCUCUUAGAUCUUUCUUCACAUAAUGGGAAACUACGCUUCUUGUGCUCUAAGCAACAUAACGCCUUCUUCUUCUUCAAAAGUGAUUCUCCCUGACGGUGAAGUGCGUCACAUUCACGCGCCGACUAAAGCCGCUGAGCUUAUGAUGGAGAUUCCGAGCUUCUUCCUCGUCGACGCCAAAACGUUAAAGCUCGGUCGGAAACUUAAACCGUUA
RNAcentral lists this long non-coding RNA (11834 nucleotides) under Brassica napus (rape). Its description in RNAcentral is "long non-coding RNA (BNAP_LNC012742)". The record is from RNAcentral. Lineage: Eukaryota; Viridiplantae; Streptophyta; Magnoliopsida; Brassicales; Brassicaceae.